GAUGAACGCUAGCUACAGGCUUAACACAUGCAAGUCGAGGGACCGGCGCGCGGGUGAGUAGUACGUAUCCAACCUGCCCUUUACUCGGGGAUUGCCUUUCGAAAGAAAGAUUAAUACCCGAUAUAAAGGAUGGGGAUGCGUUGUAUUAGGUGGUUGGUGAGGUAACGGCCCACCAAGCCUUCGAUGGAUGGGGGUGAUGAAGGGAAGGCACACCACAUUGGAACUGAGAUCCGGACCAAACUCCUACGCGGGGCUGGAGUAAGGAAUAUUGUUCAAUGGGCGUUAGCCUGAACCUGCCAAGUAGCGUAAAGAGUGAAGGCUUAUGGGUCGUAAACUUCUUGUAUAUAAGAAUAUGUAUUAUAUGAAUAAGGAUCGGCUAACUCCGUGCCAGCAGCCGCGGUAAUAC
This 406-nucleotide ribosomal RNA is filed under the name uncultured bacterium. RNAcentral's name for it is "partial 16S ribosomal RNA". It matches the Rfam family "Bacterial small subunit ribosomal RNA", at positions 28 to 526 of the family's 1533-position model. The record is from RNAcentral.